RNAcentral lists this ribosomal RNA (467 nucleotides) under uncultured bacterium. RNAcentral describes it as "bacterial SSU rRNA". It matches the Rfam family "Bacterial small subunit ribosomal RNA", at positions 330 to 794 of the family's 1533-position model. The record is from RNAcentral.
CCCAGACUCCUACGGGAGGCAGCAGUGAGGAAUAUUGGUCAAUGGGCGGGAGCCUGAACCAGCCAAGCCGCGUGAGGGAAGAAGGUACAGCGUAUCGUAAACCUCUUUUGUCAGGGAACAAAGGCGGGGACUAGUCCCCGGAUGAGGGUACCUGAAGAAAAAGCAUCGGCUAACUCCGUGCCAGCAGCCGCGGUAAUACGGAGGAUGCGAGCGUUAUCCGGAUUUAUUGGGUUUAAAGGGUGCGUAGGCGGUCGGUUAAGUCAGCGGUAAAAUUGCGGGGCUCAACCCCGUCGAGCCGUUGAAACUGGCAGACUUGAGUUGGCGAGAAGUACGCGGAAUGCGCGGUGUAGCGGUGAAAUGCAUAGAUAUCACGCAGAACUCCGAUUGCGAAGGCAGCAUACCGGCGCCCAACUGACGCUGAAGCACGAAAGCGUGGGUAUCGAACAGGAUUAGAUACCCCUGUAUGA